Molecule: ribosomal RNA, 465 nt
Filed under: uncultured bacterium
Lineage: Bacteria
Description: bacterial SSU rRNA
Rfam family: Bacterial small subunit ribosomal RNA
Source: RNAcentral
GCCAGACUCCUACGGGAGGCAGCAGUGAGGAAUAUUGGUCAAUGGCCGGAAGGCUGAACCAGCCAAGUCGCGUGAGGGAAUAAGGCCCUAUGGGUCGUAAACCUCUUUUGUCAGGGAGCAAAGGCGUCCACGUGUGGACGAGAGGAGAGUACCUGAAGAAAAAGCAUCGGCUAACUCCGUGCCAGCAGCCGCGGUAAUACGGAGGAUGCGAGCGUUAUCCGGAUUUAUUGGGUUUAAAGGGUGCGCAGGCGGAGGUGCAAGUCAGCGGUCAAAUUGCGGGGCUCAACCCCGUACUGCCGUUGAAACUGCAUCCCUUGAGUGCGCGAGAAGUAUGCGGAAUGCGUGGUGUAGCGGUGAAAUGCAUAGAUAUCACGCAGAACUCCGAUUGCGAAGGCAGCAUACCGGCGCGCAACUGACGCUCAUGCACGAAAGCGUGGGUAUCGAACAGGAUUAGAUACCCCCGUA